CUUUGGUAUUGAGAAACGACGAUAGUCCGUUUGAAAAGGGGGAUGGCUGACCCGUGUCAAAGCAUUAUCUCCUGCACAUAAAAGACAACCUUUUAGAUUUCGAAAUGGAGCAGGUAAAUGCUCCAAAAGGCAGCAAUCGCACCCACACAGUUAGAAGGAUUGAUUUAAAUUGUAAUAACUUGUUUCCCAAUCCACUAUUAUAGUGACUUCAUUAACAC
This 218-nucleotide long non-coding RNA is filed under the name Mytilus galloprovincialis (Mediterranean mussel). Lineage: Eukaryota; Metazoa; Mollusca; Bivalvia; Mytilida; Mytilidae. The record is from RNAcentral.